CGCGUAGGUGGUUUGUUAAGUUGGAUGUGAAAGCCCCGGGCUCAACCUGGGAACUGCAUCCAAAACUGGCAAGCUAGAGUACGGCAGAGGGUGGUGGAAUUUCCUGUGUAGCGGUGAAAUGCGUAGAUAUAGGAAGGAACACCAGUGGCGAAGGCGACCACCUGGACUGAUACUGACACUGAGGUGCGAAAGCGUGGGGAGCAAACA
RNAcentral lists this ribosomal RNA (207 nucleotides) under uncultured bacterium. RNAcentral's name for it is "partial 16S ribosomal RNA". It matches the Rfam family "Bacterial small subunit ribosomal RNA", at positions 568 to 774 of the family's 1533-position model. The record is from RNAcentral.